UUCGCGCCAUAACAGAAUUGAACAUAACCAAGUAAAGAGUGAAAUAUAGUGAGCACGUCUGAUCGAUACCGUUGUUUUAUAUUCUAUUUAUUUUUCGUAUCAAUUUUUCGUGAAAAUGUCGCAAGAAGAAGACAAAAAAUUAUUACAAGGUGUGGAAGCCAGUUAUAAAAGGAAAUGGAAAGGUGCAAAAAUUCAGAUUGCCGUUUCGGCCGAUAGUUCAACUUCAUCGAAUGAACCACAACCUUCUACGUCGAUUCAAACACCAAAUAUCCCAGAAUACAAUCCCAACUCGAGCCAAUCGAUUAAAUGUGAAGCCGGCCAUUCUAAUGCACAGCCUUCAUUUCCUAAACAACAGCCUUUUACGUCGAAACAACUACCAACUAUCCCAGAAUACAUACCCAACUCAAGCCGAUCGGUUAAAUGUGAAGUUUUUCAUUCUAAGGCACAGCCUUUUACUUCGAAUCAAACAGCAAAUACCCCAGAAAACCUUCCCAUGUAUGAAUGUUUAGUUUGCCAUGGUGAAUUCCCAAACUUUAAUUAUUUUGACACUCAUAAAAAAAAACACAAAGAAAAAAAUAUUUGUUGCGUUUGCAAAAAACUAUUUGAAAGCGCUGAUAGUCUUAACAAACAUACGGAGCUAUUUGGAAGAAAAUUCACUUGCUGCAUAUGUGGAAGAAAAAGAGAUGAUUCGAAUGCAUACACAUUUUAUUCUCAUAGUACCAAAUGCACGCGACGAAGUCGGCCAUAAUCAUCAUCACAUUGAACGGAACAUAAAACAACAAAAACUGAUCACAUGACAAACAGGUGACAUACUGUGCCUGUGCAAAAAUUGGUUUAAUCAUUACUGACAACUUUCGGCGAUUCUGUUGCGAUACAAUUGGAGUAUUUUAAAUGAUCGAUGACAAUCCACCAUAAGAGAAAAAGACGACUUUGAAAUGUCAUUCAAAAACAUCAUUACAUUCACAGUUAUACAAAGAUCACAGUUGCUGGCAUAACCGGUUAAAUUGAAGCGAAUCGACCGCCAAUAACAGGAUAAGGAAGAAAAGUAUCGAUCAUCACAGA
Long non-coding RNA from Contarinia nasturtii (swede midge), 1062 nucleotides. RefSeq lists it as uncharacterized. Lineage: Eukaryota; Metazoa; Arthropoda; Insecta; Diptera; Cecidomyiidae. The record is from RefSeq and is a predicted model, not a curated record. The transcript has 3 exons.